This 313-nucleotide long non-coding RNA is filed under the name Olea europaea (common olive). RNAcentral's name for it is "long non-coding RNA (OEUR_LNC006722)". The record is from RNAcentral. Lineage: Eukaryota; Viridiplantae; Streptophyta; Magnoliopsida; Lamiales; Oleaceae.
AAAAAUUGUGGGAUAAACACCGAAUGUUAUUAACCAAGUAAAGUAAAUAAAAGCAGCCAGUAUCAGAUUAGAGUAGAGAAAUAUACAGAUAAGAAGCUAAUAACAUUAACAAACUCCAUCUAAUUCAGUUUCCACUUUCCAGUGCUACACAACUAACAAAAGUUACAGUUGNAUAAGAAGCUAAUAACAUUAACAAACUCCAUCUAAUUCAGUUUCCACUUUCCAGUGCUACACAACUAACAAAAGUUACAGUUGUCAUCGAGAACACACGCUGGUUCAUAUGCAUACCUCUGCAAAAAGUCGGACAUUUCAG